GUGGGGAAUAUUGGGCAAUGGGCGAAAGCCUGACCCAGCAACGCCGCGUGAAGGAAGAAGGUCUUCGGAUCGUAAACUUCUAUCCUUGGUGAAGAUAAUGACGGUAGCCGAGAAGGAAGCCCCGGCUAACUACGUGCCAGCAGCCGCGGUAAUACGUAGGGGGCAAGCGUUGUCCGGAAUGAUUGGGCGUACAGGGCGCGUAGGCGGCCUGGUAAGUCUGGAGUGAAAGUCCUGCUUUUAAGGUGGGAAUUGCUUUGGAUACUGUCGAGCUUGAGUGCAGGAGAGGUAAGUGGAAUUCCCGGUGUAGCGGUGAAAUGCGUAGAGCUCGGGAGGAACACCAGUCGCGAAGGCGACUUACUGGACUGUAACUGACGCUGAGGCGCGAAAGUGUGGGGAGCAAACAGGAUUAGAUACCCUAGUAGUCC
Molecule: ribosomal RNA, 425 nt
Filed under: uncultured bacterium
Lineage: Bacteria
Description: partial 16S ribosomal RNA
Rfam family: Bacterial small subunit ribosomal RNA
Source: RNAcentral